This 240-nucleotide ribosomal RNA is filed under the name uncultured bacterium. RNAcentral's name for it is "partial 16S ribosomal RNA". It matches the Rfam family "Bacterial small subunit ribosomal RNA", at positions 96 to 334 of the family's 1533-position model. The record is from RNAcentral.
UGGCGAACGGGUGAGUAACGCGUGAGGAACCUGCCUCAAAGAGGGGGACAACAGUUGGAAACGACUGCUAAUACCGCAUAAGCCCACGGGUCGGCAUCGACCUGAGGGAAAAGGAGCAAUCCGCUUUGAGAUUGCCUCGCGUCCGAUUAGCUAGUUGGUGAGGUAACGGCCCACCAAGGCGACGAUCGGUAGCCGGAUUGAGAGGUUGAACGGCCACAUUGGGACUGAGACACGGCCCAG